UGUAACAUAGGAGAUGGCAUUUUCCUGUGGUUCUCCCGCUAAUCGCUCCUCGAUGAGCCGAUGAUACCUACCCACAC
This 77-nucleotide non-coding RNA is filed under the name unidentified. RNAcentral's name for it is "Candidatus Burkholderia Fluoride sequence". It matches the Rfam family "Fluoride riboswitch aptamer (crcB RNA motif)". The record is from RNAcentral.